GGGGAAUAUUGCACAAUGGGCGCAAGCCUGAUGCAGCGACGCCGCGUGAGGGAUGACGGCCUUCGGGUUGUAAACCUCUUUCAGUGCCGACGAAGCGGAAGUGACGGUAGGCACAGAAGAAGGACCGGCCAACUACGUGCCAGCAGCCGCGGUAAUACGUAGGGUCCGAGCGUUGUCCGGAAUUACUGGGCGUAAAGAGCUCGUAGGUGGUUUGUCGCGUUGUCCGUGAAAACUCACAGCUUAACUGUGGGCGUGCGGGCGAUACGGGCAGACUAGAGUACUGCAGGGGAGACUGGAAUUCCUGGUGUAGCGGUGGAAUGCGCAGAUAUCAGGAGGAACACCGGUGGCGAAGGCGGGUCUCUGGGCAGUAACUGACGCUGAGGAGCGAAAGCGUGAGGAGCGAAC
Molecule: ribosomal RNA, 405 nt
Filed under: uncultured bacterium
Lineage: Bacteria
Description: bacterial SSU rRNA
Rfam family: Bacterial small subunit ribosomal RNA
Source: RNAcentral